GUGCCAGCAGCCGCGGUAAUACGUAGGUCCCGAGCGUUGUCCGGAUUUAUUGGGCGUAAAGCGAGCGCAGGCGGUUAGAUAAGUCUGAAGUUAAAGGCUGUGGCUUAACCAUAGUACGCUUUGGAAACUGUUUAACUUGAGUGCAAGAGGGGAGAGUGGAAUUCCAUGUGUAGCGGUGAAAUGCGUAGAUAUAUGGAGGAACACCGGUGGCGAAAGCGGCUCUCUGGCUUGUAACUGACGCUGAGGCUCGAAAGCGUGGGGAGCAAACAGG
This 271-nucleotide ribosomal RNA is filed under the name uncultured Streptococcaceae bacterium. RNAcentral describes it as "partial 16S ribosomal RNA". It matches the Rfam family "Bacterial small subunit ribosomal RNA", at positions 505 to 776 of the family's 1533-position model. The record is from RNAcentral. Lineage: Bacteria; Bacillati; Bacillota; Bacilli; Lactobacillales; Streptococcaceae.